GGUCAUAGCUCAGUGGUAGAGUACUCACCUAGCAUGUGUGAGACCCUGGGUUCAAUCCCCAGCACCA
RNAcentral lists this transfer RNA (67 nucleotides) under Marmota monax (woodchuck). Its description in RNAcentral is "tRNA.Ala". It matches the Rfam family "tRNA". From Rfam's summary of the family: Transfer RNA (tRNA) molecules are approximately 80 nucleotides in length. The record is from RNAcentral. Lineage: Eukaryota; Metazoa; Chordata; Mammalia; Rodentia; Sciuridae.